GAUGAACGCUGGCGGCGUGCCUAAUACAUGCAAGUCGAGCGAACAGACGAGGCGCUUGCUCCUCUGACGUUAGCGGCGGACGGGUGAGUAACACGUGGAUAACCUACCUAUAAGACUGGGAUAACUUCGGGAAACCGGCGCUAAUACCGGAUAAUAUAUUGAACCGCAUGGUUCAAUAGUGAAAGUCGGUUUUGCUGUCUCUUCUAGAUGGAUCCGCGCCGCAUUAGCUAGUUGGUAAGGUAACGGCUUACCAAGGCGACGAGGCGUAGCCGACCUGAGAGGGGGAUAGGCCACACUGGAACGGAGACACGGUCCAGACGCCUACGGGAGGCAGCAGUAGGGAAUCGUCCGCAAUGGGCGAAAGCAUGACGGAGCAACGCCGCGUGAGAGAUGAAGGUCUUCGGAUCGUAAAACUCUGUUAUGAGGGAAGAACAAAUGUGUAAGUAACUAUGCACGGCUUGACGGUACCUAAUCAGAAAGCCACGGCUAACUACGUG
RNAcentral lists this ribosomal RNA (497 nucleotides) under uncultured bacterium. Its description in RNAcentral is "partial 16S ribosomal RNA". It matches the Rfam family "Bacterial small subunit ribosomal RNA", at positions 28 to 507 of the family's 1533-position model. The record is from RNAcentral.